GCAGAACGCGAAGAACCUUACCAGGCCUUGACAUGCAGAGAACUUUCCAGAGAUGGAUUGGUGCCUUCGGGAACUCUGACACAGGUGCUGCAUGGCUGUCGUCAGCCCGUGUCGUGAGAUGUUGGGUUAAGUCCCGUAACGAGCGCAACCCUUGUCCUUAGUUACCAGCACGUUAUGGUGGGCACUCUAAGGAGACUGCCGGUGACAAACCGGAGGAAGGUGGGGAUGACGUCAAGUCAUCAUGGCCCUUACGGCCUGGGCUACACACGUGCUACAAUGGUCGGUACAGAGGGUUGCCAAGCCGCGAGGUGGAGCUAAUCUCACAAAACCGAUCGUAGUCCGGAUCGCAGUCUGCAACUCGACUGCGUGAAGUCGGAAUCGCUAGUAAUCGCGAAUCAGAAUGUCGCGGUGAAUACGUUCCCGGGUCUUGUACACACCG
RNAcentral lists this ribosomal RNA (439 nucleotides) under uncultured bacterium. Its description in RNAcentral is "bacterial SSU rRNA". It matches the Rfam family "Bacterial small subunit ribosomal RNA", at positions 954 to 1392 of the family's 1533-position model. The record is from RNAcentral.